This is a small nucleolar RNA of Lepus europaeus (European hare), 131 nucleotides long. RefSeq annotates it as small nucleolar RNA SNORA40. NCBI's taxonomy places the organism in Eukaryota, Metazoa, Chordata, Mammalia, Lagomorpha, Leporidae. The transcript has a single exon. The record is from RefSeq and is a predicted model, not a curated record.
UGCACUUGCAUAUGUUUUUGUUUAACUUGAAGACAAAGACUGACACACAGGUGCAAAAAAUAAAUUAUCUUUUGCAACCCAGAACUCAUUGAUCAGUAUGAGCAGGACUAGGAUACCUAACACAGUACAAA